CGGGGCUUAAUGUCUUGUAAUUGGAAUGAUGGGAAUUUAAACCUCUUCCAGAGUAUCAAUUGGAGGGCAAGUCUGGUGCCAGCAGCCGCGGUAAUUCCAGCUCCAAUAGCGUAUAUUAAAAUUGUUGCAGUUAAAAAGCUCGUAGUUGAAUUUCUGCUGCAUCGCUGUUCUCCUUGAUGAGUAUUGCGUUGUGACUUUUUUCGGACAUUGCUUCGGUUUUGUCCGGAUGAUUACUUUGAGAAAAUUAGAGUGCUCAAAGCAGGCUUUUGCCUUGAAUAGUUUAGCAUGGAAUAAUAAAGUAGGACUUUGGUUCUAUUUUGUUGGUUUUAGGUACCAAAGUAAUGGUUAAUAGGAACAGUUGGGGGCAUUCGUAUUUAACUGUCAGAGGUGAAAUUCUUAGAUUUGUUAAAGACGAACUACUGCGAAAGCAUUUGCCAAGGAUGUUUCCAUUAAUCAAGAGC
Molecule: ribosomal RNA, 461 nt
Filed under: Theileria sp.
Lineage: Eukaryota; Apicomplexa; Aconoidasida; Piroplasmida; Theileriidae
Description: SSU rRNA
Rfam family: Eukaryotic small subunit ribosomal RNA
Source: RNAcentral